RNAcentral lists this transfer RNA (77 nucleotides) under Herminiimonas sp. Its description in RNAcentral is "tRNA-Arg". It matches the Rfam family "tRNA". Rfam says of the family: Transfer RNA (tRNA) molecules are approximately 80 nucleotides in length. Their secondary structure includes four short double-helical elements and three loops (D, anti-codon, and T loops). Lineage: Bacteria; Pseudomonadati; Pseudomonadota; Betaproteobacteria; Burkholderiales; Oxalobacteraceae. The record is from RNAcentral.
CUGUCCUUAGCUCAGUUGGAUAGAGCAACGGCCUUCUAAGCCGUAGGUCACUGGUUCGAUCCCAGUAGGACAGACCA